ACAAGCAGCGGAGCGUGUGGUUUAAUUCGUUGCUACACGAAGAACCUUACCUGGGUUUGACAUAUAGGUUGUAGGGAACUGAAAGGGACCGACCCUUCGGGAGCCUAUACAGGUGUUGCAUGGCUGUCGUCAGCUCGUGUCGUGAGAUGUUCGGUUAAGUCCGCUAACGAGCGCAACCCUCGUCGUAUGUUAUAUGUGUCAUACGAGACUGCCGGUAAAAAGCCGGAGGAAGGUGAGGAUGAUGUCAAGUCAGCAUGACCUUUAUAUCCAGGGCUACACACACGCUACAAUGGUCUGUACAAUGGGUAGCCAAGCCGCGAGGCGGAGCCAAUCCUGAAAGCAGGCCUCAGUUCAGAUUGCAGUCUGCAACUCGACUGCAUGAAGCCGGAGUUGCUAGUAACCGCAGGUCAGCAAUACUGCGGUGAAUACGUUCCCGGGUCUU
RNAcentral lists this ribosomal RNA (442 nucleotides) under uncultured Anaerolineaceae bacterium. RNAcentral describes it as "bacterial SSU rRNA". It matches the Rfam family "Bacterial small subunit ribosomal RNA", at positions 925 to 1382 of the family's 1533-position model. Lineage: Bacteria; Bacillati; Chloroflexota; Anaerolineae; Anaerolineales; Anaerolineaceae. The record is from RNAcentral.